UCUCCGUUGGUGAACCAGCGGAGGGAUCAUUAUCGAGUUUAUAACUCCCAAACCCUAUGUGAACUUACCACUUGUUGCUUCGGCGCGCGCUUCGGCGCCGCCGAGGACACUUAAACUCUUUGUUUUUAUAAGCAUUUCUGAGUGGCCGAAAGGCAAAAUACAAAUGAAUCAAAUCUUUCAACAACGGAUCUCUUGGUUCUG
Molecule: unclassified non-coding RNA, 201 nt
Filed under: plant metagenome
Description: partial contains small subunit ribosomal RNA, internal transcribed spacer 1, and 5.8S ribosomal RNA
Source: RNAcentral